UUUUAGCCCUGAUUGAACGGCUUGUUUGAGCUCUUUUCUUUGUGCUGAUUUUUUUCAGCACAAAGAAAAAGCGAGUAGUGAAAGCAGGAAAUAGC
Molecule: unclassified non-coding RNA, 95 nt
Filed under: Polaribacter sp. KT25b
Lineage: Bacteria; Pseudomonadati; Bacteroidota; Flavobacteriia; Flavobacteriales; Flavobacteriaceae
Description: Flavo-1 RNA
Source: RNAcentral